This is a long non-coding RNA of Lycium barbarum (goji berry), 1133 nucleotides long. RefSeq lists it as uncharacterized. Lineage: Eukaryota; Viridiplantae; Streptophyta; Magnoliopsida; Solanales; Solanaceae. The transcript is spliced from 3 exons. The record is from RefSeq and is a predicted model, not a curated record.
UGAGGUAUGUAGGGAUUUCUCUUCUCUUCUUGGCAUGACUAGAAUUCAAAUGAGCUUUCAUUGAAAAGUUAUUUCCGUUAACUUGUGUCGACCACGUUCAAUAAUGAUCGAGCUAAUCUCUACUUCAUAUAUGACUUGUGUCAAAGUACUUUCUAUGGUUCCACAUCUCUUUUGGUUAACGAUUGAACGACCUUCCGUUAACUUGUAUAAACCACAUUCCGAAAUAGUUAAGAUCAUCUCUUCUCAUGAAUAGCUUAUAUUGGAAUAAUUUCCCGCAGUUCGUAUCUAUUGUUUGUCAAUUGAAGAAUGAUGUUCAUUAUGGUACUCUUCACGUCAAAGUUGAGGCAGUUGUAUUUCCAAUCAUUUGAGUUGAUCUUUACCUCACGUGUAAUCCGUAUCAAGUAUAUUUCAUAUUCUUUACAUUUAUGGUCUUCUUGAUUGAAAGCUAAAGAGCGUAGCAACAAUAAUGAAAAUCGGAGGGUAACAACGACAGGUCACUCCGACUCUUUCCAUGAUAUUUCUUCUGAGGUACGGUAGACAGAUUGGUGUACCUUUCUCUGUAGGAUACCAGCGUUCAGCAGGGAUGUUCGCACUCCAUUCUCCGGAGUUGCUGGUUAGAGUCAUCAAUAUAUAUAUAUAUACAUAUAUAUUACGAGUACGACUAUAGCUACGUCGGGGCCACUGUCCCGACCAGUUGAUGCAUAUUAGUGCUCUAAGAGGCUUACAAACUACCAGUCAGUGUACAGACACCAGCCUAUCAAACAAUACAAUGCAAGGGAAUCAAAGAUGCGUUAAGGUUUUACAAUCUCAAAUUUUCUUCUUCAUAACCCAUGCCUCAAAAGAGAAGAGAAGAAUUCAAUGAAUAAUGAUAGUGGAAGAGAAAUCGCUCAAAUUGUGCGAGGAUAGAGUAAUGAAGAACAUGGAACCCUCUUUGACCUUAGAGGAAAAGAUUUAUCAAUUGACACUAUGAACAUAGCAACGAGCCAGGGAGGACAUUGAAGUUUGUUAAAUAAAUAUUCUUACAACUAUUUAGUUAUGUCCAUUAAGUUAAUUAAAUGCAUCGAAAACGUUUUGGUUUUACCACUUAUAUUACGCUUUUUAUCCCUUUAUAGUAUGAGCCUUAAAUGGAAACU